CAGGACGUCAUAGAGGGUGAGAACCCCGUUCAUGGCGAGAUGACCCAGUCCUAUGUAAAGUGCUUUCUAAGAGUCGAGUUGUUUGGGAAUGCAGCUCUAAGUGGGUGGUAAAUUCCAUCUAAGGCUAAAUAUUGGCGAGAGACCGAUAGCGAACAAGUACAGUGAUGGAAAGAUGAAAAGAACUUUGAAAAGAGAGUGAAAAAGUACGUGAAAUUGUUGAAAGGGAAGGGCUUGAAGUCAGACAUGGUAUUCAGUGAUCAACUGUCUUUCGGGACUGUGCACUCGCUGUUUACUGGGCCAGCAUCGGUUUAGGCGGUGAGAUAAAUGCAAGAGAAUGUGGCUCCGCUUUCGGGUGGAGUGUUAUAGCUUUUGUUCAUAUCACCAGCUUGGACCGAGGACCGCGCUUCGGCUAGGAUGCUGGCGUAAUGAC
Molecule: ribosomal RNA, 430 nt
Filed under: [Candida] sp. NCIM 3367
Lineage: Eukaryota; Fungi; Ascomycota; Dipodascomycetes; Dipodascales; Trichomonascaceae
Description: eukaryotic LSU rRNA
Rfam family: Eukaryotic large subunit ribosomal RNA
Source: RNAcentral